UUCUUCAGCGUCGACCUCCAGUGUUUUGACUUGUGUGCGACGUAGGAAGAUCGGAUCUCGACGAAACUUGGUUUGCUGGAUUCUAGACUUCCAGAGAAAUCCACGAAGCCAUGAUUCACAGAAUUUGGUGAAGGGGCUUUGUGGAGUUGAGUCACGUUCACCAUCACCCAGCACUGGAAUGGGGACCUUCUUCACCUGAUUUGGAGUUCAUUAGUAUUUCAGCUCGUACUCGACGUAGGAGCAUCGGAUUUCGUCGAGACUUAAUUCGUUGGUUUCGGGACUGCGAGAAGAAUCUACGACGUCCUUACUUGUGGAUUUUGGUGAA
Long non-coding RNA from Ananas comosus (pineapple), 325 nucleotides. RefSeq lists it as uncharacterized. The record is from RefSeq and is a predicted model, not a curated record. Lineage: Eukaryota; Viridiplantae; Streptophyta; Magnoliopsida; Poales; Bromeliaceae. The transcript is spliced from 3 exons.